AGUGAACGCUGGCGGUAGGCCUAACACAUGCAAGUCGAACGGCAGCACAGUAAGAGCUUGCUCUUACGGGUGGCGAGUGGCGGACGGGUGAGGAAUACAUCGGAAUCUACUUUUUCGUGGGGGAUAACGUAGGGAAACUUACGCUAAUACCGCAUACGACCUACGGGUGAAAGCAGGGGAUCUUCGGACCUUGCGCGAUUGAAUGAGCCGAUGUCGGAUUAGCUAGUUGGCGGGGUAAAGGCCCACCAAGGCGACGAUCCGUAGCUGGUCUGAGAGGAUGAUCAGCCACACUGGAACUGGAAAACGGUCCCGGCCCCUACGGGAGGCAGGCGUGGGGAAUAUUUGAACAUGGGGGGAAGCCUGAUCCAGGCAUACCGGGGGGGUGAAGAAGGCCUUCGGGUUGUAAAGCCCUUUUGUUGGGAAAGAAAAGCAGCAGGUUAAUACCCCGCUGUUCUGACGGUACCCAAAGAAUAAGCACCGGCUAACUUCGUG
RNAcentral lists this ribosomal RNA (492 nucleotides) under uncultured bacterium. RNAcentral's name for it is "partial 16S ribosomal RNA". It matches the Rfam family "Bacterial small subunit ribosomal RNA", at positions 29 to 507 of the family's 1533-position model. The record is from RNAcentral.